RNAcentral lists this ribosomal RNA (495 nucleotides) under uncultured bacterium. RNAcentral describes it as "partial 16S ribosomal RNA". It matches the Rfam family "Bacterial small subunit ribosomal RNA", at positions 28 to 507 of the family's 1533-position model. The record is from RNAcentral.
GACGAACGCUGGCGGCGUGCCUAACACAUGCAAGUCGAACGCUGAAGGAGGAGCUUGCUUCUCUGGAUGAGUUGCGAACGGGUGAGUAACGCGUAGGUAGCCUGUCUCGGAGCGAGGGAUAACCAAUGGAAACGUUAGCUAAUACCGCAUAAUAGCAGUUAUUGAAUGAUAACUGAUUGAAAGGUUCAAUAGCACCACUACCAGAUGGACCUGCGUUGUAUUAGCUAGUUGGUGGGGUAACGGCUAACCAAGGCUACGUUACAUAGCCGACGUGAGAGGGGGAGCGGCAUCGCUGGGACUGGGACAGGGCCCAGAAUCCUACGACUGGGAGACGUAGCGGAUCUUCAGCAAUGGCAGGAGGUGGGAGCGUGCGACAGCGCGCGAGUGAGGAAGGUUUCCGUAUCGUGGAGCUCAGUUUUAAGUUAAGAACGGAUAUGAGUGUUGAAAGGUCACGCUGUGACGGUAUCGUACGAAUAAGCGCCGGCUAACUACGUG